UACGUAGGUGACAAGCGUUGUCCGGAUUUACUGGGCGUAAAGAGCGCGCAGGCGGUCGUUCAAGUCGAGUGUGAAAGCCCCCGGCUCAACUGGGGAGGGUCACUCGAUACUGAUCGACUCGAAGGCAGGAGAGGGAAGUGGAAUUCCCGGGUGUAGUGGUGAAAUGCGUAGAUAUCGGGAGGAACACCGGUGGCGAAGGCGGUUCUCUGGGCCUUACCUGACGCUGAGGAGCGAAAGCGUGGGGAGCGAACAGG
This 254-nucleotide ribosomal RNA is filed under the name uncultured bacterium. Its description in RNAcentral is "partial 16S ribosomal RNA". It matches the Rfam family "Bacterial small subunit ribosomal RNA", at positions 524 to 776 of the family's 1533-position model. The record is from RNAcentral.